This is a long non-coding RNA of Entelurus aequoreus (snake pipefish), 370 nucleotides long. RefSeq lists it as uncharacterized. The record is from RefSeq and is a predicted model, not a curated record. The transcript is spliced from 3 exons. Lineage: Eukaryota; Metazoa; Chordata; Actinopteri; Syngnathiformes; Syngnathidae.
GUUUGUUUACAUAACUUUCUCCGACUUUCUAGGACGUGUUUUAUUUUAUGCCACUUCUUUUUCUGCCUCAUUUUGUCCACCACACUUUUAACGUCGUGCAUGAGUGCACAAAGACUGGCGCCAGAACCACGACUCAGUCCAACGCCGAACCCUGAAGACGUCACAUCCACUACAGCGUGAGAGCCAACGUGAGGGAGCAACGUUGGCUUAAGAAUUGGACGGUUUUGACCGGUUUUUGCAGGAGGAAAUUGCUGCCAUCCGUCUGCAGAUAGGCCGUCCUCCGGCAGACCCGCUGAUCCCCCGAUGAUAACGGCGGCUGGAUGCCAAGUGAUGUACAUUAUUGAUGGCCACAUUUUACAGUCUCAGCAGG